RNAcentral lists this small nuclear RNA (123 nucleotides) under Marchantia polymorpha subsp. ruderalis. Its description in RNAcentral is "U5 spliceosomal RNA". It matches the Rfam family "U5 spliceosomal RNA". Rfam says of the family: U5 RNA is a component of both types of known spliceosome. The precise function of this molecule is unknown, though it is known that the 5' loop is required for splice site selection and p220 binding, and that both the 3' stem-loop and the Sm site are important for Sm protein binding and cap methylation. The record is from Rfam by way of RNAcentral. Lineage: Eukaryota; Viridiplantae; Streptophyta; Marchantiopsida; Marchantiales; Marchantiaceae.
CAGCCGUGUGUUCAGCCCAGAGCGAACUAUCUUUCGCCUUUUACUACAAAAUUCCGUGUGCGGGACACAGAAGCGACUUAAAAUUCAACUGUUAAAAUUUUUGGAAACCUCCUUCGUUAGAUC